RNAcentral lists this long non-coding RNA (2613 nucleotides) under Capsicum annuum. RNAcentral's name for it is "long non-coding RNA (CANN_LNC005791)". Lineage: Eukaryota; Viridiplantae; Streptophyta; Magnoliopsida; Solanales; Solanaceae. The record is from RNAcentral.
AACAACAAUUAUACCACCAUUCAAUACUUCGUUGCUAAAAAAAAACACGAUUAAAUCAAAACACCAAAUUCGGAAAAAAAUAAAUCCUACAUCACUACCAAUCGAUUAGCAAAAAGAAAAACCAUUUAAAUGGAUCUAGAAAUGAUCGAAACUCGAUUUUAACUAACCUUGCAAAGCAACAACGCCCCCUUAGCAGUUGCAGACGAAGAACGUACGAAAAUGGCGUUUUUGGGAGAAGUUGUUUGAAAGCAAGAGUUGAAAAUUGAAGAGGAGAGAGAGAGUUUUUUUUUUAAAUAUUGGAAUAAGUGGAGGGGGUUAGGUGUAUUAUAUUAAAUUUGUAAAGUUGUAUAAAUGAUGAAUUGGUCCCUUGGCCCACGUGUGGACCCCACUUUUUCCACUUUUUACACCCUAAACUUAAAAAAUAAAUCAAAAAGAAAUUAAGUGAGUAUUUGGCAAAAUAGUUUUGCAAAAUUUCCUUUUUGUCAAUUAUUCUCCUGAUAAUGCCUAGUUUAGUGUAGCACCUGAUUUCCGCCGACUCAAUCUUGACAUUCACUAACAGUUAAUUAACAUACUUUCAUCGAGAUGAAAUUCUGAGUCAUCCACCAAAACACCAAAAUGCAGUACUCUAACAUACUAGUACAAAAUAAAUAGUGAUUUAGCGGUCAAAAGAAAAUUCAGAGUCAUUCUAAGUAAAUUUGAAUAAUAAUUAUUCUCCUUUUUUUAAUUUAAUUUUUUAAAAUACCUAUUUUAUAUCUAUCUAUCUAUAUAUUAUUUUUGACCAACGUGAAUGUGUUCGAUCAAGGGAAUUGUCCAACUAGUCCCGAUUUUUAUAUAUGUGGCAUCGUUCAAAUUUCAAUAGCCAAACAGAUCCUUAAAAGUAGUAUAAAAGUAUAUAAACUAUUCAUGCAUGCAUCAAGCCAUCAAUUAAUUUCAUUCUACAUCAUCAUGGAUAAAUAGAUUAUUGGCCAAGUAUUGUUUUUUUGUUCAGUAAUUUUUAAACUAAAUUGAUGGAGUAAUAUUUUCUUCUGAUUCGGUUUAUGUGGCACGUUCUAAUUUUGAAAGUUAAGUUAUUUAAUUUUGAUCAUGCAUUUGAUCAAGGUCUCUUUAAGUUUUUUUUUUUUGUUAAAAAAAAUAUUUAAAAUUACAUAAAAAAGAAAACUAUAAAUCACUAUAAUUAAUAGAUCAAAAUUUUAUAUCUCCUUUUAUGAAAUUAGUAUAUUUUUCUCAUUCUUAUUUUAUAUAUAGUUUUGAUCAGACUUUCUUAUAAGCAAACAAUGACUUUUGUCCUACUUAAAGUUGAGGAUUGGGUACUUACGUGUUUCUUGGGUUGUGCGCAAAAUAUUCAUGAGGAUUGUAUUUGACCAUCACAAUGGAUAACUUUCACCUUAUUACCUUAAAUUUUUAUUUGAAAUUUCAAAUUCACAAAUUCACACACACAUAUAUAUAUAUAUAUAUCAAGAAAAGACAAUAUUUUUUUUGCUAUUUCACCUUAAACAUUAAUUAUUUAUUCUUCAAAUUAUUUUCAAAACAUGUUACUCUAAAUAUAAUUAAUAGAGGUAGUAUGAUAAAAUAGUCGUAUCAACACUAAUUUUCUUAAUAAAUGUGCCAUAGCAAAAAUUGACAAGUAAAAGUAAACAAAGAGAACAUAAGACAUAAUUUGUGAUAAGCUGAACAUGUUUUCUUUUAGAACGUCUGUUAUAUAAACAAAAAUUAAAAUUAAUGCCUAACUUGAUAUAAUGUACCUACAUACUAGAUUUUAUUACAACAACAACAACAACAACAAACCCAGUGUAUUCCCACUUAGUGGGGUCUGGGGGGGGUAAGAUGUACGCAGUCCAUACCUCUACCUCUGAUGAAGUAGAAAGGCUGUUUCCGAAAGACCCCCGGCUCAAGUCACGAGAUAUCACACAACACAUAGUACAGCACAGAAGCAGAUGACAUAACAUAGAUACAUACUAGAUUUUAUUAAUAAAAUGAAAUUUGAAUUCAAUGAAACAUAUUCACUAUCUUAAAAUACCAUGAUCCCUAUCUUAUAGUCAAAACUAAUUUAGGUACCAUGGUACAUAGGCAACAAAACUUUUGCCCUUUGAAUUUCUGACAGCAAAAAAUAAAGAGAGAGAAGAACACAAUAGGCCAGAGUGCCCUAAUUAAUUCGUUGGUCAGUUGCAUGUAAUCUUCUUUACCAAUUAUGCACAUCUUUAUUCCUAUUAAUUUUUUAAUUAAAAAUAGCUAACAAAUACGCAGUCAAAUUUUUCUAUAGCAAUAUCUUAUUAUAUUAACCUAAUUUUCUUUAAAAUAGAAUUUUUAUAUUAUAUCUUACUUUUCUAUAAUAAUAUUUUAUUUAUAAUAAUAAUUAUCAAAAGAAAAGAAUAAUUAAUAUGAGUCGCAGUACUAUUUUACCACACUAUCACUCACUCAAUAUUUAAUAUUAAUUGAAGAAGUUGAACUAAGGAAAAGAAAGCUUAAAUAACACUCCCAUUCCCAAGAAUACAUGCAAGUAUAUAUAUACUUAUGUCCCACUUCCAUGCAAUGGAAUGUACAGUACCAAUUUCUCACGUGUAUGAAGCAUGCAUAACUUAUACAAAUAAACCAUAUAUAUAUAUAUAUAUAUAU